AUACAGAGGGUGCAAGCGUUAUUCGGAAUUACUGGGCGUAAAGCGCGCGUAGGCGGAUGAUUAGGUCAGUUGUGAAAGCCCUGGGCUCAACCUAGGAACUGCAUCUGAUACUGGUCGUCUAGAGUUUAAGAGAGGGAAGUGGAAUUCCAGGUGUAGCAGUGAAAUGCGUAGAUAUCUGGAGGAACAUCAGUGGCGAAGGCGACUUCCUGGCUUAAAACUGACGCUGAGGUGCGAAAGCGUGGGUAGCGAACGGGAUUAGAAACCCUAGUAGUCC
Molecule: ribosomal RNA, 274 nt
Filed under: uncultured bacterium
Lineage: Bacteria
Description: partial 16S ribosomal RNA
Rfam family: Bacterial small subunit ribosomal RNA
Source: RNAcentral